Tachysurus fulvidraco (yellow catfish) is the source of this 1743-nucleotide long non-coding RNA. RefSeq lists it as uncharacterized. The record is from RefSeq and is a predicted model, not a curated record. The transcript is spliced from 3 exons. NCBI's taxonomy places the organism in Eukaryota, Metazoa, Chordata, Actinopteri, Siluriformes, Bagridae.
UGAUUUGCAUUUGCAAAGCAAGUCUGUUCAGUUUGGUCUGAGGCUGAAAGUCACGUGUGUAGAAGCGUGUAGACGUGUGGAGAAGAAAAAUACCUCCUCUAGACCUCGUCUCGGCUCGUGUGCGGUCGCUUCGGACGACGUUCCAGCUCUUCGUUCCUGGACCUUGUUUCUGAAUCUAAGCCUGUACUGAAUGUGUCUCGUUUCACUGUCUUUAAAAUCAUAGAAUAAUCUUGUUUCUGCUCUCCACCUGAGUAAAGUCUUCUGUGUAGGACGCUGUCUUACUCAUCCACUGCUUCUAUUGUGGUGCACCAGGGGAUGAGUUGGAGUCUCGGUCUGAAAGGAAUGCCCAGGAACCCUUUGUUUUUUCACUUUUCUGAGUCACACAGGGAUCCCCAGGUCAGACAUUAAGCACAGAGUGAGAAAGUACCAGAAGUGACACGAUGACUCAAAGCUACGUGUGGGGAAUGGAAACAGAGGGUGGACCAUCAGUCAUAAGCACAACUCCGCACUAAUAUCAGAUGCUUUUCAUCAAUGCUUACCUCAGGCUAAACUUUUGUAUGAUACACAACUCACAGUCCAGUUUUUUCUCUGGUCAUUAUUUGGAAGGGAAACUUUUUUUGUCACAACAACACCUUUUUUUUUUUUUUUUUGGCAAGAACAAAACAUCCUGUACUGAAACGAUCACAAAUCACAGAUGGUUCCAAUGUACAACCCACUUGAACAUUUCAGUAUCUUCCUCCCUCAAACUCACCACCCAAGAGCUGUAGAAGCCCAGUAUGAAAGCUUUAUGUAAAUUACUGAUCAGAAGGUUGGGGGUUCAAGCCCCAGUACCACCAAGCUGCCCCAAGCUGUUGGGUUCUACUGUUGGUUCUAUCUUGUUCUCUGACCUGGAAAUCCUAAGAAGCUUAGAAAAUAAUUUCUAUAGACGUGACAAAUAAAGGCUGGUUCUUCUAUUGAUGUUCAAGCUUCUACUGCUGGUUCCAUCCUGAUGCCCUGCUCAUGAUAUUGAGUAGUUCUUGUUGCUUGUACAGUAGGCUGCUCACUGCUUCUGAGGAUGGACAGCUUCUGCCCACAUGGACUAUUUAGAAACUAUGAAGAUGGCUUUGGACUGCAGUUAACGGUUUUCCACUCAAACCUCCAUCAUUUACAUUUACAUUAAGAUUACCGCCAUUUUGGCAGAUUCCCUUAUCCAGAGCUCUCCAUCAGUGAAUACAUUAACGCUGGUUCACCAGGUCACAGCCUAAGAAUACCAUCAGGGUAUUAGUUUUUUUUUUAGAUUAAAUAGAUAAACAGGGAAAAAAUAAGUUUUAGUUGCAAGAGGUUGGUCUUCACUCGUCAUUUGAAGAUAGCCAGUGACUCAGCUGUUCAGACAUAUUGGGGAUGUUCAUUCCACCCCCUCGGUGCAAAAACAGAAAAGACUCUUGAUGCAUACUUACCUCUUACCCUGAGAGAUGGUGGGACCAGUCGAGCAGUGAAGAAGACUGUGCAGAGUGAACAGUUGCUCUUUUUCACCAUAUAGUACAUCAUUAUACAAGGGAAAUCGUUUUAUAAUCAUUUUAUCUGUCUGGUGUCACCCAAAUGGAGUCUGGAUCCUCUAACGGUCAUCUCAGGUAGUUUUACCUCACCACCGUCACCUCUGGCUUGCACAAUAGGGAUAAACUAAAUGUCUCUUAUGAAUUUAUAUAUUUCUAUAACGCUUUUUUGUGAUGAUGUCCAUUGUUAAAAACUAUACAAAUAAAAUGG